Molecule: long non-coding RNA, 1763 nt
Filed under: Malus domestica (apple)
Lineage: Eukaryota; Viridiplantae; Streptophyta; Magnoliopsida; Rosales; Rosaceae
Description: long non-coding RNA (MDOM_LNC004064)
Source: RNAcentral
GAAGUGUAAAACAUGUAAAAAUAUAUAUAUAUAUACAAUCACUCAUAUAUAAAAAAAUGUAAAUGCUUUAAAUUAAAGAUCAAAUUUAUUCAUUACAUUCUUAUAGGGUCGAGGAGUGUAUCUGUAAAAAAAUCAUCAAAAUUGAAACUCAAAUAACCGUUAAAUUGUGAUUUUUCGUUUAUAACCGUCGAAAACUUUUGUUCCGUUACGUAAUCUCUGAAUGUUUAUUUUUUAUGAUUUUUUACGUAUGCGAUCUCGGAAUGUGUACAAAUAAGUUUGACGGUUUGAUCAUUGAAAAAAGUUUUGUAGAAUGUAUAUUGCGUCAAAACAGUAGAUUAAACAAACACUUAGAGUUAAUAUUAUACUUUUAUUAAGUAUAAAAUAAGUUUUUGUGGUAUCCACUAGUGUAAAUACUUUAAAUUAAAGAUCAAAUUUAUUCAUUACAUUCUUAUAGGGUCAAGGAGUGUAUCUGUAAAAAAUCAUCAAAAUCGGAGAUAAAAUAAUCAUUAAAUUGUGAUUUUUCGUUUAUAACCGUCGAAAACUUUUGUUCCAUUACGUAAUCUCUGAAUGUUUGUUUUUUUUUAUUUUUUACGUAUGCGAUCUUGGAAUGUGUACAAAUAAGUUUGACGGUUGGAUCGUUGAAAAAAGUUUCGUAGAAUGCAUAUUGCGUCAAAAUUGUAGAUUAAACAAACACUUAGAGUUAAUAUUAUACUUCUAUUAAGUAUAAAAUAAGUUUUUAUGGUAUCCACUAGUGUAAAUACUUUAAAUUAAAGAUCAAAUUUAUUCAUUACAUUUUUAUAGGGUCAAGGAGUGUAUCUGUAAAAAAUCAUCAAAAUCGGAGCUAAAAUAACCGUUAAAUUGUGAUUUUUCGUUUAUAACCGUCGAAAACUUUUGUUCCGUUACGUAAUCUCUGAAUGUUUGUUUUUUAUGAUUUUUUACGUAUGCGAUCUCGGAAUGUGUAAAAAUAAGUUUGACGGUUGAAUCGUUGAAAAAAGUUUUGUAGAAUGCAUAUUGUGUCAAAACAGUAGAUUAAACAAACACUUAAUAUUAUACUUCUAUUAAGUAUAAAAUAAGUUUUUGUGGUAUCCACUAGUGUAAAUACUUUAAAUUAAAGAUCAAAUUUAUUCAUUACAUUCUUAUAGGGUCGAGGAGUGUAUCUGUAAAAAAAAUCAUCAAAAUCAGAGAUGAAAUAAACCGUUAAAUUGUGAUUUUUCGUUUAUAACCGUCGAAAACUUUUGUUCCAUUACGCAAUCUCUGAAUGUUUGUUUUUUACGAUUUUUAACGUAUGCGAUCUUGGAACGUGUACAAAUAAGUUUGACGGUUGGAUCAUUGAAAAAAGUUUUGUAGAAUGCAUAUUGCGUCAAAACGGUAGAUUAAACAAACACUUAGAGUUAAUAUUAUACUUCUAUUAACUAUAAAAUAAGUUUUUGUGGUAUCCACUAGUGUAAAUUCUUUAAAUUAAAGAUCAAAUUUAUUCAUUACAUUCUUAUAGGGUCGAGGAGUGUAUUUGUAAAAAAUCAUCAAAAUCGGAGCUCAAAUUACCGUUAAAUUGUGAUUUUUCGUUUAUAACCGUCGAAAACUUUUGUUCUAUUACGUAAUCUCUGAAUGUUUGUUUUUUACGAUUUUUUACGUAUGCGAUCUCGAAAUGUGUACAAAUAAGUUUGACGGUUGGAUCGUUGAAAAAAGUUUUGUAGAAUGCAUAUUGCGUCAAAACGGUAGAUUAAACAAACACUUAGAGUUAAUAUUAUACUUCUAUUAAGUAU